This 301-nucleotide ribosomal RNA is filed under the name uncultured bacterium. Its description in RNAcentral is "partial 16S ribosomal RNA". It matches the Rfam family "Bacterial small subunit ribosomal RNA", at positions 509 to 808 of the family's 1533-position model. The record is from RNAcentral.
CAGCAGCCGCGGGAAUACGUAGGUGGCAAGCGUUGUCCGGAAUUAAUGGGCGUAAAGCGCGCGCAGGCGGAUAGGUCAGUCUGUCUUAAAAGUUCGGGGCUUAACCCCGUGAUGGGAUGGAAACUGCCAAUCUAGAGUAUCGGAGAGGAAGGUGGAAUUCCAAGUGUAGUGGUGAAAUACGUAGAUAUUUGGAGGAACAUCGGUGGCGAAGGCGACCUUCUGGACUGUUACUGACGCUGAGAUCCGAAAGCGUGGGGAUCAAACAGGAUUAGAUACCCCAGUAGUCCCUGUCUCUUAUACC